UGCCAGAGGGGACCCAGUGGCUGAGAAGUGGGUCUGACUUCCUCUUGCUGGUUCUGGGAACCUCCAAACCCCAGCCCUCCAACCCAGACAGAAAGUGAUAGGGCCCUUCCAUCCACUGGACCUGGUCUCCGUUUGUAAGAGAACUCAAUUCUUCCUUUUUCUCAGCUGCUGCGCCCACCCCGGUGCAGCCUUAGUGAUACAAGUCUCCAUAGGAUUAACAGAUCCUUAAAAUCCUCUUCAGAGUCCUGCAGCCAAGGUGACGUACCCAAGGAAAGGGGCCGGUUGGCCACCAGAGGCCACACACACAGGAUAUUGAAUAGAGUUGAAUUUGGAGCAGCACUUUUCCAUGAGAAGAAGACACUGGAGGCCUCCCCUUCUUCCCCCCUCCCCAUUCCCAGCCCUCCCUCACUUCCCCAGGAGCCCAACCGGGGCUGGCCUGAGAGCUUAGGACCCUGAUAUAACAUCAUCGAUUCACGGAGAGCUAGAACCUUGUCAUUUCACAUUUCGAGGAGGGAAAGGAGAAAGCAAUUUGGGAAAAGCACCCUUUUCGGAGAUAAAGAGGCAAGCUUUUGUCUCCUCUCCCAUGGAUGCCCUGGAAACCGCUCCUGCUUCACUUCCUGACCAUGUGGAGCGGUCACAAUUAGGGGCUAUUGCCUUAAAAAAAAAUGUCUUUUGCCUUGUUUUAUUUAGUGUGCCCAGAAUUCACUGAUAUCUGGAAGUGAGCACUUCCGCUUAUGGGUGCUCUGGAAACAGGAAAAUAAAAGGAAAAAUCAGAACUACAAGCAGAGAGAUCCUUAUUUUUUUAACUUUUUAUUUUCUCUUGGGGUAUAGCUGAUUAACAAUGCUGUGAUGGUUUCAGGCGAACAGCAAAGGGACUCAGCCAUACAUAUAUGUGUAUCCAUUCUGCCCCAAACUCCCCUCCCAGCAAGAUCCUUCUUGGCCUGUUUUUUUCCCUUCUUCCCCAUUUUGAAAUAAUGCUUUAAAUGCUCUAGCAGGCUCUUUCAGUUACCUCUAACAGUUCUGUAGCAACCUGUAUCAUGUCAGCAUCAGAACUGAACUGAGAGAAAGCAAAAUGUCAGAGCAGCUGGUGACGGCUGAGGCCUCGUAUUGCCCCACUGCUGAGGGGGUCGGAGGCCUUCAUUCUGGUCUGGGAAUCCUGUGGGUUUCUUGUUGGGCCAACAUGAGGGCGAGUGUUGUGUCAGGCUGGGACAUUGUUAAGAAGGUGUCUUCCACAUAAGGCUCAAUAAAUACCACCUAAAUUGGAUGUCAUUAAAUUAGCAGCAGCUGCCC
Long non-coding RNA from Bos taurus (domestic cattle), 1290 nucleotides. The record is from Ensembl. NCBI's taxonomy places the organism in Eukaryota, Metazoa, Chordata, Mammalia, Artiodactyla, Bovidae.